RNAcentral lists this ribosomal RNA (164 nucleotides) under Herpotrichiellaceae sp. RNAcentral describes it as "partial large subunit ribosomal RNA". It matches the Rfam family "Eukaryotic large subunit ribosomal RNA", at positions 99 to 261 of the family's 3401-position model. The record is from RNAcentral. Lineage: Eukaryota; Fungi; Ascomycota; Eurotiomycetes; Chaetothyriales; Herpotrichiellaceae.
CGGCAACAGCUCAAAUUUGAAAUCUGACUUCUUUGGAGUCCGAGUUGUAAUUUGUAGAGGAUGUUUCGGGCACCGCAUCAAUUUAAAUUUCUUGGAACAGAAUGUCAUAGAGGGUGAGAAUCCCGUCUGGAAUUGAUGUAGGGUCCAUGUGAAACUCCUUCGAC